GAGUUUGAUCAUGGCUCAGAGCGAACGCUGGCGGCAGGCCUAACACAUGCAAGUCGAGCGGCCGUAGCAAUACGGCAGCGGCAGACGGGAGAGUAACACGUGGGAGCGUGCCCUUCGGUUCGGAAUAACUCGGGGAAACCCGUGCUAAUACCGAAUACGCCCUUACGGGAAAGAUUUAUCGCCGAUGGAGCGGCCCGCGUCUGAUUAGCUAGUUGGUGAGGUAACGGCUCACCAAGGCGACGAUCAGUAGCUGGUCUGAGAGGAUGAUCAGCCUCACUGGGACUGAGACACGGCCCAGACUCCUACGGGAGGCAGCAGUGGGGAAUAUUGGACAAUGGGCGCAAGCCUGAUCCAGCCAUGCCGCGUGGAUGAUGAAGGCCUUAGGGUUGUAAAGUCCUUUUAGCGGGAAGAUAAUGACGGUACCGCAGAAAAGCCCGGCUAACUUCGUGCCAGCAGCAGCCGCUGUAAU
RNAcentral lists this ribosomal RNA (469 nucleotides) under uncultured Alphaproteobacteria bacterium. RNAcentral's name for it is "bacterial SSU rRNA". It matches the Rfam family "Bacterial small subunit ribosomal RNA", at positions 9 to 524 of the family's 1533-position model. The record is from RNAcentral. Lineage: Bacteria; Pseudomonadati; Pseudomonadota; Alphaproteobacteria.